GGGGCUAUAGCUCAGGGGUAGAGCACUUGACUGCAGAUCAAGAGGUCCCCGGUUCAAAUCCGGGUGCCCCCU
This 72-nucleotide transfer RNA is filed under the name Ornithorhynchus anatinus (platypus). Its description in RNAcentral is "tRNA-Cys (GCA) (tRNA-Cys-GCA-12-1)". It matches the Rfam family "tRNA". From Rfam's summary of the family: Transfer RNA (tRNA) molecules are approximately 80 nucleotides in length. Their secondary structure includes four short double-helical elements and three loops (D, anti-codon, and T loops). Lineage: Eukaryota; Metazoa; Chordata; Mammalia; Monotremata; Ornithorhynchidae. The record is from RNAcentral.